RNAcentral lists this ribosomal RNA (142 nucleotides) under uncultured eukaryote. RNAcentral describes it as "partial 18S ribosomal RNA". It matches the Rfam family "Eukaryotic small subunit ribosomal RNA", at positions 1299 to 1458 of the family's 1831-position model. The record is from RNAcentral.
UGGUGGAGUGAUUUGUCUGGUUAAUUCCGUUAACGAACGAGACCGCCGCCUGCUAAAUAGUUCUACCAAUGGUUUUUCAUUGGUAAGAGCUUCUUAGAGGGACGUUCACUCUACAAGAUGAAGGAAGAUGGCGGCAAUAACA